This 490-nucleotide ribosomal RNA is filed under the name uncultured bacterium. Its description in RNAcentral is "bacterial SSU rRNA". It matches the Rfam family "Bacterial small subunit ribosomal RNA", at positions 29 to 507 of the family's 1533-position model. The record is from RNAcentral.
AGUGAACGCUGGCGGCAGGCCUAAUACAUGCAAGUCGAACGGCAGCACAGCAGAGCUUGCUCUGUGGGUGGCGAGUGGCGGACGGGUGAGGAAUACAUGGGAAUCUGCCCAGUCGUGGGGGAUAACGUAUGGAAACGUACGCUAAUACCGCAUGCGCCCUACAGGGGAAAGCCGGGGACCGCAAGGCCUGGCGCGAUUGGAUGAGCCCAUGUUCGAUUAGCUAGUUGGCGGGGUAAAGGCCCACCAAGGCGACGAUCGAUAGCUGGUCUGAGAGGAUGAUCAGCCACACUGGAACUGAGACACGGUCCAGACUCCUACGGGAGGCAGCAGUAGGGAAUAUUGGACAAUGGGGGCAACCCUGAUCCAGCCAUGCCGCGUGAGUGAAGAAGGCCCUCGGGUUGUAAAGCUCUUUUGUCCGGAAAGAAAAGCAUCUGGUUAAUACCCGGGUGUUCUGACGGUACCGGAAGAAUAAGCACCGGCUAACUUCGUG